GACGAACGCUGGCGGCGUGCUUAACACAUGCAAGUCGAACGGAAAGGCCCUGCUUUUGUGGGGUGCUCGAGUGGCGAACGGGUGAGUAACACGUGAGUAACCUGCCCUUGACUUUGGGAUAACUUCAGGAAACUGGGGCUAAUACCGGAUAGGAGCUCCUGCUGCAUGGUGGGGGGGGGAAAGUUUCGGCGGUUGGGGAUGGACUCGCGGCUUAUCAGCUUGUUGGUGGGGUAGUGGCUUACCAAGGCUUUGACGGGUAGCCGGCCUGAGAGGGUGACCGGCCACAUUGGGACUGAGAUACGGCCCAGACUCCUACGGGAGGCAGCAGUGGGGAAUAUUGCCCAAUGGGCGGAAGCCUGAUGCAGCAACGCCGCGUGCGGGAUGACGGCCUUCGGGUUGUAAACCGCUUUCGCCUGUGACGAAGCGUGAGUGACGGUAAUGGGUAAAGAAGCACCGGCUAACUACGUG
This 468-nucleotide ribosomal RNA is filed under the name uncultured bacterium. RNAcentral describes it as "partial 16S ribosomal RNA". It matches the Rfam family "Bacterial small subunit ribosomal RNA", at positions 28 to 507 of the family's 1533-position model. The record is from RNAcentral.